This 85-nucleotide transfer RNA is filed under the name Felis catus (domestic cat). It matches the Rfam family "tRNA". Rfam says of the family: Transfer RNA (tRNA) molecules are approximately 80 nucleotides in length. Their secondary structure includes four short double-helical elements and three loops (D, anti-codon, and T loops). Further hydrogen bonds mediate the characteristic L-shaped molecular structure. tRNAs have two regions of fundamental functional importance: the anti-codon, which is responsible for specific mRNA codon recognition, and the 3' end, to which the tRNAs corresponding amino acid is attached (by aminoacyl-tRNA synthetases). tRNAs cope with the degeneracy of the genetic code in two manners: having more than one tRNA (with a specific anti-codon) for a particular amino acid; and 'wobble' base-pairing, i.e. permitting non-standard base-pairing at the 3rd anti-codon position. Lineage: Eukaryota; Metazoa; Chordata; Mammalia; Carnivora; Felidae. The record is from Rfam by way of RNAcentral.
GCCUGGGUGGCUCAGUCUGUGAAGCAUCUGACUUCGGCUCAGGUCACCAUCUCCCAGUUCGUGGGUUCGAACCCCUUGUCAGGCU